ACGGCUCACGGCUCUCAUUGCACAAGCGCCAGCGUGAACGGUUGAAGAGUGUUUGUAGAGGGCUCUGUUGACAUGUAAAGGCGGAUGGGAAAGUUGUAGGGGUGGAUGGGAAUGCUAAAAGAAAAGAAAAAGAAAAAGAAAAAAAAGAAAAGGAAACUUGUGAAGGUAUGUAAGUGGUGCGAGAGCUUGUAAUAAACGAUUUGGAUCAUUGACAUCUGGUCCGUGCAUCAGCCGCUGCAGCGGGGAGGGGGAAGGAGGGGGGGGGAGGGCAGUGUGGAGGGUGUGUUCUCAGGCCAGCACCAAUCUACGUUGGCUAGAGCAGAUCACAGACUUUAAUAUCUUGAACUCCGUGUUUUUCUUAACCCUUUUGGCAUUUGCUUAUUUUUCCCUCAAUUCCACGAUUCAUACCCUCAAUUACACUUGCAUGUACCAUCAAAACAGUCCCCCCCCCUCCCUUCAAAACCCACAAAUCAAACAGUACAGUUCUUCACUUUCCACAGACACCCAGCACUUGGUCUCACAAUGAGGAUACUGAAUUACAAAAACUUAGUGGUCCCACUACUUCCUUUAUGAUCCCAGUUUCUUAUUCAAUAUCCCCCUUGGCUCACCAGCAGCGUCUCUUCAGUGAGCCAAACUACAACCCAGGGGGUCUUCUCGGUAUCUCUUUAGUCCUCCCUUGUACCACAGCAGCUUCUUAGAUAACACUUCCACAGCAUAAACAUUUAACACUCACAAAGACAGUGACAACAACCAGUACAGUUUAUCCUCGGGAUCCUUCCUCUCUCCACCUCCCCCCAGGGCCCAACCUUCCUUCGGUGUUCCAUUCCCACUCUUGCACAGCUGCCCACCUAAUCCUGCCUCUUUCUUGUCCAGUAAACAACACACCCAUGAUAAACGUCACUUCCAUCCCUGAGUAGAACUUAGGCCCCAGGAAUUGAUCUAAUUGCUCUGCUUCUCUUGUAGGAUCUUCCCUCGUUGAUAUCUAAUUCCCCCUUUUCCACAUCUAAUGCAGAAAACGCAUUCUAUUCCUACACUAACUACUGUGCCUGGCAGUAUCCCUCCCUCCUCGCCUUGGUCAUUUUUGCAGGAUGUCCGUGGCAGCCUCGACAUCGCUGCUUUGGGCAGCUGUUCUCCUCUCGCUUACAGCCUCAGUAGUCUGCGAGCGCUUUACCACGCGUUGUGACUGGGAACACACAUGUAUAACUUCAGGUUACCAGACAGCUCGUGCGUUCAGCCUUAGCAAUCGUUAGGUCCGUGGCCGUCCAACUGGCCUUGAGAGCUGGCUGUGGACUGCAUCUCCUGUCUGCCCCGAGUGGCCAGUAAGCAAAUACAGUGAAGUUAGGAAUGACUCCUUUUGGAGUGAGGAUGCACAGCCUUGGACCAUUCAGUACGCGAUCCAAGGUUACUGUUGCCUGAGGCACUCCAUCCU
This 1429-nucleotide long non-coding RNA is filed under the name Gallus gallus (chicken). Its description in RNAcentral is "lncRNA (ENSGALG00010026490.1)". The record is from RNAcentral. Lineage: Eukaryota; Metazoa; Chordata; Aves; Galliformes; Phasianidae.